GGGGUGUUAGCUCAGCUGGGAGAGCGCUACGCUGGCAGCGUAGAGGUCACGGGUUCGAGCCCCGUACGCUCCA
This 73-nucleotide transfer RNA is filed under the name Ileibacterium valens. It matches the Rfam family "tRNA". Rfam says of the family: Transfer RNA (tRNA) molecules are approximately 80 nucleotides in length. Their secondary structure includes four short double-helical elements and three loops (D, anti-codon, and T loops). The record is from Rfam by way of RNAcentral. Lineage: Bacteria; Bacillati; Bacillota; Erysipelotrichia; Erysipelotrichales; Erysipelotrichaceae.